This 638-nucleotide long non-coding RNA is filed under the name Elaeis guineensis (African oil palm). RNAcentral describes it as "long non-coding RNA (EGUI_LNC036474)". The record is from RNAcentral. Lineage: Eukaryota; Viridiplantae; Streptophyta; Magnoliopsida; Arecales; Arecaceae.
UGGAAGAGAUUUUGUGAGAGUUUGCUAUUGGUUUCAAGGCAUCAAAGAAAGCUUCUCUUGCUGAUUUUACAGUAGAAAAUUAAAGAAGAAAAGUUCUUCCUAAUAAGAGAAAGAGAAGGAAGAAAGAUUUUUUUUCUAAUACGCAGUUUUGGAGAAGAAAGUGUUCUUCUCCUAGAUUUUUUUUUUUUAGUAUGAAAAUUAGAUUGGAUUUGAUUUUUAACAUAAGAAUUUAAAGAAAAAAUAUCAAAAAAAUCUGGUUGGGUGUUUGGGGCUUCCUAGGACUUUCGAUCAAGAAAAAAAGGGAGAAGAAAAGAAAAGAAUGAUUCUUCUCUUGGAUCUCUCUUUUGGGUUCUUCUAGAGCUUCACAUUUUAUAUGAUUUUCUGUAUAAAAAAUCAGAUUAGAUCUAAUUUUUAUCAUGAAAAAUUAGAGAAGAAAAGUUCUUCUUAAAGGUGUGAAAGGAAGAGUGAAAAGUUCUCUCUUAUGUGUGGGAGAAUUGAGAAGAAAGUAUUCUUCUCUUAAUCUCUAUCAUAGAGAUCUGAUACGUGGAUUCAGGAAGAAAAUGUGAGGGUCUUCUUGUUCUUCAUCUUCUUCAUGUUCUUCUUAGACCAGCCAUCAAAAGGUAUCUUCACGAGCUAGC